RNA transcript from Eurytemora carolleeae, 2502 nucleotides. It is a transcript of the gene named phosphatidylserine synthase 1, with no coding region annotated. Lineage: Eukaryota; Metazoa; Arthropoda; Copepoda; Calanoida; Temoridae. The record is from RefSeq and is a predicted model, not a curated record. The transcript is spliced from 17 exons.
GAAAACUGAUCGAACGUAUUUCUCCGUAUUUGGCUUCUCUUAUCUUUACAAAACAAAUUAUCAAAUAUGACAGUGUAUCUUGAACAUCGGAGCAAUGCUUUACACUCGUCUAAUUGGGGGUAUUAUGAACCGGAAGAGAACUCAGACCGAAGGGUCAGAUGCUUCUGACCACUUCGUUUCGGUCAACGAAAGACCUGUCGACGAUAUUAGUCUUGAAUUUUUCUACAAACCUCACACAAUUACCCUUCUAGUCGCCUGCAUAUCUGGAAUAACAUACACUGCAUUUGCUAGAGAUGAGACAGUUGAUUAUCACAGUAACCUGUAUACUGGGUUAGUUGGAGUAUCAAUUAUAUUUUUGAUAAUAUCUAUUCUCACCCUUCCGAACGGUCCAUUCACUAGACCCCACCCUGCAAUAUGGAGAUGUGUUCUAGGGAUGUCUAUAAUGUAUUUGCUACUACUACAAUUCAUGAUUCAUCAAGACUGGGCAACAAUAAGAUCCGUUAUUGUCUGGAUAGAUCCUAAGAUGGCAAACUAUUCCAUAGACGCUGAAAAGGAGUACGGUCAGGAUUGUUGGGAUAUCACCUUCGAACGACUCUACUCCCACGUCGAUGUUUUCGCUUUCGGGCACUACUGGGGCUGGGGGAUGAAGGCUCUCGUAAUCCGUCACUACGGGAUCCUCUGGUCUAUUUCUAUAAUGUGGGAGCUAACUGAGGUUAUGUUCGGACAUCUUCUUCCAAACUUUUACGAGUGCUGGUGGGAUAAUAUGAUUCUAGAUGUCAUGAUCUGCAAUGGAUUGGGUAUUUUCACUGGAAUGCAGGUCUGUAGGUUUCUGGAGAUGAGAGAAUAUAAAUGGGAGAGCAUUAAAAACAUACAAACCACAACCGGAAAAUUCAAAAGAGCUAUGCUUCAAUUCACUCCGGAAUCCUGGACUCAUGUUAGAUGGCUAGACCCCAACUCCAGCUAUAUGCGUCUUAUUGCUAUUAUUCAGUUUAUUCUAAUCUGGCAGGUUGUAGAGUUGAACACGUUCUUUAUAAAACACAUAUUCCCGAUGCCAACUGAACACCCAAUCUGUGUUGCUAGGAUUCUAUUAAAUGGUUUAAUCUCAGCUCCAGCUAUUAGACAGUAUUACACCUAUGUGACGGAUCCCCAGUGUAAGAGGGUCGGAACCCAGCUCUGGGUCUUCAUGAUGAUUGCGCUGAGUGAGUUGAUUCUUGUACUCAAGUUUGGUUUGGAUAUAUUCUCGCACACCCAGAUAUCUAAGAUGUUGGUCUGGUUGUGUCUCAACAUAAUUGUUAGCGUUCUCGGAGUUUUUGUAAGCAUGGAGGUAUUCAAGUGGCGACACAAUAAAUCCGAAUCGGCUCCGCCCCAGGAUGAAGUGGCGGAAGAUGAGAUGGUUUCCCGACUUCUCAACUCCGCCGGAGAACCUGCCGUUCGCAGAAGUCCUCGGCACGCGGGAAAACCGGAAUUAAAAGUUCGGAAACGAAAUGUCCAACUUCCUCCUUAAGUUGAGAGGGAUUACGACUUUCUUGUUUGUGCCAAAAAAUGUGCUAAAUUCGUAUUCUUUAUAUCUUGAGGCAUUAUCAGUGUUUAGGAUAUUAUGAAUCCAGACCGCGGCUCAAAUUUUUUAAAUUCGGCCUCUGAAUACAUUAAUUAAAUUUCUUCUAGUUCAUAUCGGUUCUAGCCAAUUAGUCCAAUUUGUGAAUAUAGAAGUAAAAGUAAGGAAAUCAUAUUCGUGACCCGCUAGUUUCCUUAAUCUUUUAUCUCAACUCAUUAGCCAAAAGAGUGAUAUCUAGAGCUCUUUGACGAUACACCGAGUUUAUCAGGAAGAAAUUUCAAUCUUUUUGGCUUUUUUCACUUUUGUUGAGACAACAUUAAGAAUGGCGUUUGUAUUUUUAAUUCUCUUAUUUUGCGGUUUUUGAAUUUUUAUUUGCUUUGUUUGUUGCCUUUAAAUUUUUAAUUUGUAAGAACAACUUUUAAUGUUUGUAGAAUUCAACUUGUUUUCAAAAGAAAUAUCUCUCUCUUAAACAAUAAACAUCCUGCCCCCCACCUGCUCUCAGUAUACAAUUUUGAUUUUGUCAACAUUUUUGUUCUCUCUCAGAUAAUAUUUGAAUUUAGGCAACCCUCGUAUGAAAAAAUCACAGGUCGGAACUGUUGUGGUGGGAAGUAUCGUUAAUCUUGAACGCUUAAUCUCGACUAAUACGUUGGUCUGCAAUAAGAUCUAAGUUUAUCCUGAGUUUCACAACACACAAGUUCUGACUUCAGUUUAUGUUUUUUAAACAAUGUUAUGAAGGAACAAAAGAUUAAAAAUGUUCCUGCUCCUGAAGAACUUUAUGAAAAUAGUCGAUCAAAUUUAAAUUGUAAUGAACUUCCGUUGUGAUGUACUGUACAUGUGACCGUUCAAUGAAAUAUGACUUCUUAUUGUGUAUGUAUUAUGUUUUAUUAAACUUCAUAGAUAUAUAUAUGUUCAUGUUUUUAAAUGAUAUUAAAACUCGAAAUAAUUAA